GGGGAAUUUUGCGCAAUGGGGGCAACCCUGACGCAGCAACGCCGCGUGCGGGACGACGGCCUUCGGGUUGUAAACCGCUUUCAGCAGGGAAGAAAUUCGACGGUACCUGCAGAAGAAGCUCCGGCUAACUACGUGCCAGCAGCCGCGGUAAUACGUAGGGAGCGAGCGUUAUCCGGAUUCAUUGGGCGUAAAGAGCGCGUAGGCGGCCUCUCAAGCGGGAUCUCUAAUCCGAGGGCUCAACCCCCGGCCGGAUCCCGAACUGGGAGGCUCGAGUUCGGUAGAGGCAGGCGGAAUUCCCGGUGUAGCGGUGGAAUGCGCAGAUAUCGGGAAGAACACCGAUGGCGAAGGCAGCCUGCUGGGCCGCAACUGACGCUGAGGCGCGAAAGCUAGGGGAGCGAACAGGAUUAGAUACCCUGGUAGUCCUAGCCGUAAACGAUGGAUACUAGGUGUGGGGGGCUCCGCCCUCCGUGCCGCAGCCAACGCAUUAAGUAUCCCGCCUGGGGAGUACGGCCGCAAGGCUA
Molecule: ribosomal RNA, 521 nt
Filed under: uncultured bacterium
Lineage: Bacteria
Description: bacterial SSU rRNA
Rfam family: Bacterial small subunit ribosomal RNA
Source: RNAcentral